RNAcentral lists this ribosomal RNA (826 nucleotides) under Neurospora dodgei. RNAcentral describes it as "eukaryotic LSU rRNA". It matches the Rfam family "Eukaryotic large subunit ribosomal RNA", at positions 74 to 933 of the family's 3401-position model. The record is from RNAcentral. Lineage: Eukaryota; Fungi; Ascomycota; Sordariomycetes; Sordariales; Sordariaceae.
AUUGCCCUAGUAACGGCGAGUGAAGCGGCAACAGCUCAAAUUUGAAAUCUGCCUUCGGGCCGAGUUGUAAUUUGUAGAGGAAGCUUUUGGUGAGGCACCUUCUGAGUCCCCUGGAACGGGGCGCCAUAGAGGGUGAGAGCCCCGUAUAGUCGGAUGCCGAUCCAAUGUAAAGCUCCUUCGACGAGUCGAGUAGUUUGGGAAUGCUGCUCAAAAUGGGAGGUAAAUUUCUUCUAAAGCUAAAUACCGGCCAGAGACCGAUAGCGCACAAGUAGAGUGAUCGAAAGAUGAAAAGCACCUUGAAAAGGGGGUUAAAUAGCACGUGAAAUUGUUGAAAGGGAAGCGUUUGCGGCCAGACUUGCGCCGCUCCGAUCAUCCGGUGUUCUCACCGGUGCACUCGGGGCGGCGCAGGCCAGCAUCGGUUUCGGCGGGGGGAUAAAGGUCCAGGGAACGUAGCUCCUUCGGGAGUGUUAUAGCCCUGGGCGUAAUGCCCUCGCCGGGACCGAGGUUCGCGCAUCUGCAAGGAUGCUGGCGUAAUGGCCGCCAACGACCCGUCUUGAAACACGGACCAAGGAGUCAAGGUUUUGCGCGAGUGUUUGGGUGUAAAACCCGCACGCGUAAUGAAAGUGAACGUAGGUGAGAGCUUCGGCGCAUCAUCGACCGAUCCUGAUGUAUUCGGAUGGAUUUGAGUAAGAGCGUUAAGCCUUGGACCCGAAAGAUGGUGAACUAUGCUUGGAUAGGGUGAAGCCAGAGGAAACUCUGGUGGAGGCUCGCAGCGGUUCUGACGUGCAAAUCGAUCGUCAAAUCUGAGCAUGGGGGCGAAAGACUA